Molecule: long non-coding RNA, 8759 nt
Filed under: Lactuca sativa (garden lettuce)
Lineage: Eukaryota; Viridiplantae; Streptophyta; Magnoliopsida; Asterales; Asteraceae
Description: long non-coding RNA (LSAT_LNC008792)
Source: RNAcentral
UGAAAUUCCACCAGACCACAUCCAAAUCGAGGAAAACGAAAUAGGGCAUGUGGCUUUCCUAAGCCCUUUAAACAUUAUUUAUACAUCUAUACAUAUAUAGGCAUGCAAUUUACAAGUAGUAGAACAAAGCUUAGAUAAAAGCAUUUGAUAAGUAAAAGAUUUUGUAAAACAUUUUGAAGUAAAACAGUUUGAUAACAGUUUGAACAGUGAUAAAAUCAUUGGUUUUCCUAGUUAUUAAUCACAUGUGAUUAAUGCAAUCACAUGUGAUUUAAGCAAUAACAAUAAGUAUUUAACUUGUAUCCCCCCCCCAUAAAGUAUUUAAAACAUUUAAAAUCAUUUCACAGGUUGAUUAAAGGGGUAUGAACUCACUUGAAAGUUUGAAGAUAGCGAGAUUGAAAAACGGGCAGAGUUCCGUCUCGGUAAACGGAUUGUUCUCGGGACUCUCGGGAAUCUCGGGAGUAAAAUCGACCCUCAGGACUUGAGCAAAAAGACCAGAGCUUCGGGUUUGAACGGGCACGGAAAUCGAGGCAAGAUCGUGAGAGAAAAAGAGAGAAUGAGCAAAAUUUUCGGAUAGCCUCGCAUUCUAUUUAUAGGGGGGUCUGAGAAGCCUCGUACGCGGGGCGUACACUUGUACGCAGGGCGUACGCAUACGUCAUGCAUGAGCGAGUCCUCGACUGCCUCGGCUUCGGAUGGGACGGAUCGGAUGGGACGGGUCGGACAGGGCGGGUCGGAUGGGGCGGGUCGGAAGCUUCGCAUAGGGGGACGUGGACGAUCCGAGGACCUUGACCUGAGUACGCGGGGCGUACGAAGGUACGCAGGGCGUACUCCGGUCCUAUCCGCUGACUCCCCUUCGGAUAAUACCGGGAGUUUAUAAUUAAAUUUAUAUUUAUUUUAAAUAAACUUCUAAAAUUCAUAUCUCCGUCAUACGAACUCCGUUUUUGACGUUCUUUAUAUCCACGCGAAGGUGAGACUAAGAUCUACAACUUUCGUUUAGAUUCCGUUGGCAAAUUCCGAAAUUAUUUUUAUUAUUUAUUUAUUAAAAUGACGUGAUUAAGGAAUUUCUUCUAAAAUUCAUAACUUCCUCAUCCGAAGUCAGAUUUGGACGUUCUUUUUAUGUACGCAAACCUUGAUAUGAUUCCUACUACUUUAUUUAAUCCGAAUAAGAUUUUAGGAAGGUUACAUUUUGACCUAAAUUUGAUCGGUUUUACAUUACAUUGACUCGAAAUAUCGGGUUGUCACAGCAUCCCCCCGUUAGAAGGAAUUUCGUCCCGAAAUUAGAAUUUUAAGCAAGUUAGAAAUUACAAAUAACUAAGCAAAAAGGUGAGGGUAUUUCAGUUUCAUCUGAUCCUCACGUUCCCAAGUGAAUUCCGGUCCUCGCUUGGCAUUCCAGCGAACCUUCACGAUAGGGAUACGACUUUGCUUUGUCUGCUUGACCUCACGGUCCAUGAUCUCUAUAGGUUCUUCCACGAAGUUGAGGCUCUCGUUGAUUUCGAUCUCGUCGAGUGGGAUUACAAGAGUCUCGUCGGAUAGACACUUUUUCAAGUUAGAUACGUGGAAUGUAGAAUGUACGUUACGAAGUGCGUCUGGUAGUUCGAGUUUGUAAGCUACGGGGCCGACUCUUGCAAGAAUCUCGAAAGGCCCUAUGUACCUCGGAUUAAGCUUUCCACGCUUGCCGAAGCGUAUCAAGCCCUUCCAGGGUGAGACUUUGAGGAGGACUCGGUCUCCCACCUGAAAUUCCAAAGGUUUCCUUCGUUUAUCAGCGUAGCUCUUCUGUCGGUCUCUAGAGGCUUUCAAUCGUUCACGGAUCUGAACGAUUUUCUCUGUUGUUUCCCGAAUGAUCUCCGGACCGGUGAGAGUACUGUCGGAAGUUUGCCCCCUGGCUAAUUGGGUAUCACCCACCUCAGCCCAGCACAGAGGGGAUCUGCACUUACGGCCGUAGAGAGCUUCAAAUGGAGCAGCCUUGAUGCUCGUGUGAUAACUGUUAUUAUAGGAAAACUCGACAAGGGGUAAAUGAGUAUCCCAUGCCUUCCCAAAGUCAAUCACGCAGGCUCGCAACAUAUCUUCUAGAGUUUGGAUGGUCCUCUCACUCUGUCCGUCGGUCUGAGGAUGGUAGGCUGUGCUCAUGUCCAGCCUCGUUCCUAGGGAAUGUUGUAGUGAUUGCCAAAAUCUUGAGGUGAACCUACUAUCUCUAUCGGAGAUAAUGGACAUAGGUACACCAUGUAGCCGUACGAUUUCCCUAAUGUAUGUUCUCGUAAGCUUCUCCAUCUUGUCGGUUUCUUUGAUAGGCAGGAAGUGUGCAGACUUGGUCAAUCUAUCAACGAUGACCCAUAUGGUGUCAAGUCCACCCGUUGUCUUGGGCAACUUGGUUAUGAAAUCCAUAGUGAUCCGCUCCCACUUCCAUUCCGGGAUCUCUGGUUGCUGCAAUAAACCAGAGGGCUUCUGGUACUCGACCUUAACCUUUGCGCAAGUAAGGCAUUUACUUACGAAGGUAGCAAUCUCUGCUUUCAUAUUAGGCCACCAGUAUAGCUUCUUAAGAUCCAGAUACAUCUUAUCUGAACCUGGGUGGACGGAAUACCGAGUGUUGUGCGCCUCGGUCAUGACCAAGUCUCGGAAGCCACCAUGUUUCGGUGUCCAGAUCCGGUUCAUGAAAUAUAAAGCUCCGUCACCCUUGGCUUCUAAAUUCUUGUCCAUUCCUCUAAGGGAUUCACUUGACACAUUUUCAGAUUUCAUGGCCUCAAGUUGAGCCGCCUGAAUUUGCUUAGUCAGGUGUGAAUGGAUGGUUAUCGAUAAUGACUUGACUUUGCGACCAGAAUAUUCCUUCCGACUUAGGGCGUCUGCUACUACGUUGGCUUUACCCGGAUGAUAACGAAUAUCGCAUUCGUAAUCACUGAGUAGCUCGACCCAUCGUCGUUGUCUCAUGUUGAGCUCCUUCUGAUCGAAAAUGUGUUGUAAACUCUUGUGGUCGGUAAAGAUAGUGCUCUUCGUUCCAUACAAGUAAUGUCUCCAGAUCUUCAGAGCAAACACUACUGCUCCUAGUUCAAGAUCGUGGGUCGUGUAGUUAACCUCGUGUGUCUUCAAUUGUCUUGAGGCGUAGGCGAUGACCUUACCUCGCUGCAUCAGAACACAUCCGAGUCCUUGGUUUGAUGCAUCGCAAUAAACUACGAAGUCUUCUAUUCCUUCGGGAAGGGAUAGUAUUGGUGCGGUGCACAAGGCUCGUUUGAGCGUUUGGAACGCUCUUUCUUGUUUCUCUUCCCAGUCAAAGGCCACACCUUUCUGGGUUAGGGUUGUAAGAGGCUUCGCUAUUCGUGAGAAGUUCUGAAUGAACCUGCGGUAGUAGCCAGCGAGACCUAGAAAUUGACGAAUUUCUGUAGGAGUCUUCGGUGCUGACCAGUUCUCAAUGGCCUUAAUUUUGGAUGGGUCCACGUGGAUUCCCUCUUCGCUUACCACGUGUCCUAAGAAUUCGACUCUUCGGAUCCAAAAUUCACAUUUCGAGAACUUCGCAUAAAGUUUCUCUUUUCGUAAUGUCCCUAGAACUUGUCGCAGAUGAUCGCCAUGUUCUUUCUUACUUCGGGAGUAGAUUAGGAUGUCGUCAAUGAAAACGAUGACGAACUGAUCCAAGUAGGGUCGGCAUACUCUAUUCAUCAGAUCCAUGAAGACUGCGGGCGCAUUGGUCAAUCCGAAUGGCAUCACCACGAACUCGUAAUGUCCGUAACGAGUUCGGAAGGCGGUCUUCGGCACAUCCUCCUCUAGCACUCGUAACUGGUGAUAUCCGGAUCUCAGAUCAAUCUUAGAAAAAUAGUUCGCCCCUUGCAGUUGGUCGAAUAGAUCAUCUAUGCGUGGUAGAGGAUAACGAUUCUUGACCGUCAGUUUGUUGAGUUCUCUGUAGUCAAUACACAUACGGAAGGAUCCGUCCUUCUUCUUAACAAACAAGACCGGUGCUCCCCAAGGUGAGAAACUUGGCCUUAUAAAGCCCUUGCUGAGCAGUUCGUUAAGUUGACCAGAGAGUUCUUGCAUCUCGGCUGGUGCUAAACGGUAGGGCGACUUGGCUACUGGGGUAGCUCCUGGGACUAAGUCGAUUCUGAACUCGACUUGUCGUUGCGGAGGUAAUCCGGGUAGUUCUUCUGGGAAAAUGUCGGGGAAGUCGCUCACUACUGGGAGGUUCUUUAGUUCUUUCGUUUCUAGGUUCGUGUCGACGACGUGAGCAAGGAAUGCGUGGUAUUCCUUACGCAGGUAUUUCUGUGCUUGAAUACUUGAUAUGAUGCGAAGACUUGCACCGGGUUUGUCGCCAUAGACUAUAAGAGUUUCGUUAGACGGAAGGUUUAGACGGACUGCUUUCUCGAAGCACAUGAUGUCGGCACGAUGAAGGCUUAACCAGUCCAUGCCAAUGAUGACGUCGAAACUUUUUAUUGAGACUGGCAUGAGGUCGAUUGGAAAUGAAUGGUUGUCUAGGGUUAGGGUACAACCUAAGUAUAUGCUACUCGUAUUUUCAGUUUUUCCAUUAGCCAUUUCUACUGUAAAUAGUUCUUUGAGUGCGUGCGGUGGUUGAUUAAGCAUGCGAGCAAAUUUAUGGUUUACGAAGCUUCGCUCCGCUCCACUAUCGAAUAGAAUGCAUGCAUAGGAGUUAUCGAGGAGGAACGUACCGGUUACUACUGUCGGGUCAGCAACUGCUUCCCCGUGGCCUAUAGCCAGUACCCUCCCUGCUCCUCCAGCAUUCCUCGCUUUGGGGCAGUCCCUCUUAAAGUGGCCUGCUUCGCCACAUCCAUAGCAGGUUGGGCUCGCGCCAGAGCCAGGGACUUGGUUGAUAGGUUGUGCCGGGAACUUACAGAAUCGGACGGUGUGUCCUUUCCUGUUGCAGUUAGAGCACUGCAAUUCACGGCAGGGGCCGUUGUGGUGGUAGCUGCAUUUGUUGCACUUGGGCGAACUUCCAGCAUACCGACUCACCGGAGCAGUAGUAGCAGCAGUAGGGGUUACUGCGGCAUGAAUUGCCACCAAUUGCUGCUUUUUGGCAGCCUGAUGCUUCUUCCUUUCAUCCCAGAAUUUCCGCUUAGUAUCGGCGGGUUUGGAGGGUUCCGGGAUGGCUAGGGUGGUUGUGGUUGCAGGGGUUUUGACUCCAUGGUCAAUGAGUCGUUGUGCCAAUCGUUUGGCACUGUCGAAGGUAGCGGGGUUUGACGCUAGCACAUUCCCCUGAUACGGAGGCACUAGUCCCCAUAUGUACCUCUCGAUCUUCUUCCCCUCGGUGGGAACCAUAUUGGGGCAGAGGGCCACCAGCUCGCUGAAUCGGGCAGUAUAAGCGACCACAUUGGUGCCCUUCAUCGACAGGUUCCAGAGUUCCUGCUCCAGUUUCUGGAUCUCGCCCCUCGGGCAGUAUUCCUCAGUCAUGAGGUCUUUCAUUGUUUCCCAGCCCAUGUCGUUGGCUACGACGAGAGUUAGGGCUUUGACGUGGCCGUUCCACCACGUUAGGGCUUUACCCUCAAAGGUGCAGGCGGCAUAUUUCACCUUGCACGCAGCAGGGCAUGAACAAAUUUCGAAGACUGAUUCAGUCUUCUCGAACCACUGCGAGAGAGCAAUGACUCCGCCGGUGCCAUAGAAAGGCUUCGGCUUGCAGUUUGUAAAAUCCUUGUAAGAGCACUCCCUUGAGCGCACAGGGAUUUCGAUCGGAAUAGAUUCCACAGGGGUUCCACCUCUGCUGGCAUCAGAAGAGUGAUACUGAGCCAUGGCAGUUGCCACUGCUGCAGCUACAACAGCAUUCAGGGCUACAGUAUCGAUGACCGGAGGCGGAGGAGGUGGUGGAGGUGCAGGAUUAUUCCUAUUCCUGGGAGACUUGCGAGGAGGCAUCCUUCAGCUGAAAGUUUAAAAAGAUAAGAAAGAUGGUAAGAAUCAAUUUGUAAGCAACGCGAGAGUGACACAUGGACUAACUAAACAUAGUCCAACAGUUGAAAGGGUGCUUGAAACCACAACAAGCAUUAUUAGUAGGAAAGCACAAGUGUAUAGAUUUUUCCCCAGAUAGAUAGAUCUCAAAAAUUUACUGGUAUUACUGAUGUAAUAAGUUCAGGGAAAAUCGACCUAACAGUAGGUCAUACAUCAUACCAUAUAGAAAAGUUUGACAGUCCUUAGAUUUCAAAUUUGAGUACGGAAGUUAGAAACAUUUUACACACAAGCGCUACUUGGAGCACAGAUGUUAAAGGCUAUCCUUUAAUUAAAAGACGGAGCUGUACUAGACAUCAACCAACGGCGAUGGGAAAAUCCCGGGCGAGUACUGCGGUCGGAUACUUGACGAAACACCUCUUGAAUGGGUCGAUCCUGAGUCCUCUGACGAGCUCGAAGUUCCAAUAUUUCAGCUCGUGAGGCAGCCAACUGCUACUGCAGGGUUUUAUUUGUCCUCCGGGUCCGUUCCAUGUCUUCUUCAAGACGGCGGAUGCUGACUGUGUUGACACCUGAGUCGGCAUCAAUCUCUAUGACCCGGUCGACGGCUGCUCCACCUUGCUCGACAAUACGAGCUAUUCUGCGGAUAAUGACAGGCAGAGCUCGGUCAGUAGAGCCACCAUCGCUGACGUUGUAAAAGGUUCGGUCCCCAAAGUAUGGUAAGGGUUGACCCUGAUCAUCACUCCAGCGGUUCGGUUGUUUGCCCACAUGGGUGUAGGACCUGGAAACGCUGGUCGAGGGUUGUUGUUCGGGGCUUGACCUACAAUCGGUAGGUUGUUGACUUCAGGCUCGGAGUCGGACCCAUCUGAAAAGCCUUCUGCGAGGUGAUCAUCCAAAGGGAUUGGAUGAUCAACUUCGGGCUCUUCAUCGAUCCACCCGGCAUUGCCUUCAUUGGGAAAGUACGGGUCGCCAUGAUGGAUAUCUAGCCAUCAAGAUCUACGCGAGAAUAGAGGUAUAAGAAUAUAGUAUACGUGUAACUAGUAGCGCAAAAUACUCCUAUAGUAUUUUAAGUUUAAGUUCUAUUGAUCUUCUUGUGGUAUUGUUGGUAAGUUUUUAGACUUGCUAACCUAUCACAACCAUUCUAAGGCAUGUGCUAAUCACUCCUAGGAUCAGCAUAGUUGAUCAGGCUAUGCCAUUCCCAGGACUGACCAUACAUCCCCGAGCUCACUUGUGAUAUUUAACAAUCGUAAUACUUUUGUUCUUGUCAUUGUGACACUUAUUUUAGUAUGAAUGCAGACUAGUAUACUUAGUUAAAUAUUUUAUUAUUUUAAGUAUAGACUCUUGGUCAGAGUUUAAUCCCCAAUGGGUUUAUAGUUUAGUAUAUCUUUUAUGGGUUGAUAUACUCAAUUCACUAUAAACAAUGCUCUGAUACCAAUCUGUCACACCCCAAAACCAAGAACGGCGGAAACGUUCUGGGGCGGAGGACGUCAUGUAAGGUAAUCACAACACAGUAAAUGUAAAUAGGCAAACAACAUCAUCCAUUGCAUUAAAUAUAUAAAUUUAAUACAUGCGUGUUCUGUACAGUUUUAGACACCAAAAAUAUAACGUAAAUCAAAAUAAUAAAAUGAUGAGUCUUGAGUACGCUCCAUCAUCUCAAAAGCUGGCAUCGGUACCUGUCUACUGAUGACCUGAGAAUACAAGUUAUUUUGAAAGAGUUUAUCAGCAUUAAGCUGGUGAGUUCAUAAGUAUUUUAGUGUCAAUGUUCAUUGUCAAAAACGUUUGAACUUGUCCCAAUGUAUAAGUUUGUAAAAAUGUAAAUAAAUGUUUAAAAGUAUUUGCAAAAGUUUGAAUCUCUCAGAAAAUCCUAUAUUUUCUAUAAUAGUAACCUUCUACCAAGGCUUAACUGUUUUGUAAACUCGUCUGUUGUAAAAGUGUGUGAUUACCCAAGUAUAACUAUCAUUUGAUAAAAUAUAGUUUGUACAUUAAUGCUUAAGUGAGAUUAUCACCAAAAUAUGUAAUGGGUAAAUCAUUGUAGUACUGUAGUUUUGUAUAAUAAGAACUACUGUUGUACUAAUUACUACUACCUUAAACCGGAUUUAUAUUAAGGUAUAAUGUGAUAAUUGCACCAUACUAUCGACUGAUAACAACGACAUAAAGAACGGUCGUAAUAACGGAAUGACGUUUGGCACCCGCAGACCUGCAGGUCCGGCUGUAGCUAGCAGCAAGGUGUAGGAUAGUCAAUCCAGUAUAGAUCUAUACGCAAACUCAACGCUCUCCCUCCAAGAGAAUUCUGGCUACAACUCGGGCCAUGACAUUUAAGGCAUGCUCCGAUACAGUGGAUCACAUUUGUUAUCGUAUUCUUGCAUGUGUGAUGAAAUGUUUCUUGUUCUAGUAUAGUUGUAUAUGUUCUCGUAGUAUAGUUGUAUAUAUUCUCUUCCUAGUAUAGACUCAUGAAUGAACUGACUCAUUGAUCUAGCAGUUGUAAUAGUAUGAUCCUGUGUUACCCCGAUGGUAACUUACUAAUGGUGUGUCUAGUACGUAUGAAUAUGGAAGUACUUUUAUGUCUAUAUAUGUAUAUUUGAUAUAUAAUUAAUAUUGAAACGACCUUCGGAUGGUCACCCGAAAUUCCACCAGACCACAUCCAAAUCGAGGAAAAGGAAAUAGGGCAGGUGGCUUUCCUAAGCCCUUUAAACAUUAUUUAUACAUCUAUACAUAUAUGGGCAUGCAAUUUAUAAGUAGUAAAACAAAGUUUAAAUUAAAAGCAUUUGGUAAGUAAAAGAGUUUGUAAAACAUUUUGAAGUAAAACAGUUUGAUAAACAGUUUGAACAGUGAUAAAAUCAUUGGUUUCCUAGUUAUUAAUCACAUGUGAUUAAUGCAAUCACAUGCGAUUUAAGCAA